Molecule: long non-coding RNA, 937 nt
Filed under: Setaria viridis
Lineage: Eukaryota; Viridiplantae; Streptophyta; Magnoliopsida; Poales; Poaceae
Description: long non-coding RNA (SVIR_LNC004618)
Source: RNAcentral
UUAUAUCCAACUGACUGAUUAAUUUCUUAUAACGUACUCUAUUUUUCUUUGCCAAAUAAGCCAGCAAACGUUGACGUUUUCCCAAAAGUCUUCGUAGACCUCUUUCCGAUGAAAAAUCUUUUUUGUGUAAUUCCAAAUGUGAAGCAAGUCUCCGUAUCUUAUUGGUGAAACUGAAUACUUGAAAUUCAACAGAACCCCUGUUUUCUUGUUUUUCUUCUUUAACCAUAAAUCAAAAAAAAUUUCUACCUCCUUUCUUUUUCAUGUAUUUUUUCUGCGCGUUAGGCUCGGAUGGUUGUACGGGAGGACACGAGGAUUAGACUGAUUCGGGAAUGAAUAGCCCUACGUCCAGUGUGGGUGGAUGUUCGUGUUACUCGUACCAAGUUUGUAGUAGGGGCUACAAACGGACGAGAGAGGGAAGCUCCCAGGUCUCUGUGGGUGUUUGCCGAUGCUCAAAGUGUCUUGAGCGCUAGGGUUCUACGAGAGCUAUUGUGUGCGUUCGGUGUUGUUCUGUCGUUCGGGUCCCUCCCCUCAGGCCCCCUGGUCCCCCUUUUAUAGUGUAAGGAGGACACACUUGCUUCGAGGGGUCGGGCGUGUCCAACUCCUUGCGCCCGGGGUCGGGUGAGGUGGAAACUUGCUUCGAGGGGUUGGGCGCCCGACCCCUUGCGCCUGGGGUUGGGCGAGGUGGAAACUUGCUUCGAGGGGUCGGGCGCGUCCGGCCCCUUGCGCCUGGGGUCGGGCGAGGUGGAGCGAGGUACCUCCGGGGUGUGUUUUGGUUGGUGGAGAUUAUGGGUGCUAGUGGUGGGUCCUGGCCCUUACGACCGUUGAUUAGGGAGCAUAAGGAGGUCAUUAAUAUUUCUCCCCGACAGAUUUCCAAAACCGGAACUUCCAAUUUUGGCUCGGGCAGAGAAGACCCCCAAACCUAUGAGGUGAAACUGAG